GAGGGGAUAAACAAUAUAAUAAAUUACAUUAGAGACGUGGUCGGAAAAACAGGGUAAAGAGAUGGCUCGAUUAACAUUAAUAUCGAUGUUAGUUCUCUUGGCAGGAUCAAUGCUUAUGGUCCAAGGCGGAGAUCCCACCCUUUUUUUCGAAUGGAACGUCACCUAUGGAACCAUUGCUCCCUUGGGAGUGCCAGUAAAGGGUAUUCUUAUUAACGGGCAAUUCCCGGGACCAAAUCUUAACUCUACCACCAACAACAAUAUCGUGGUCAAUGUGUUCAAUAACCUUGAUGAGCCAUUCCUUGUAACAUGGUAAGCGACUACCAAGAGUAUUUUCUUUUUUACAUUAAAAUGAUUAUGCUAGUGAAGAGUCGAGCUAAUUAUCUGUGGAAAUGGGAUUUGUUGCAGGGACGGCGUGCAGCAUAGGAAGAACUCUUGGCAAGAUGGUGUUCUGGGAACCAACUGUCCUAUCCCCCCUGGGAAGAAUUACACCUAUAAAUUCCAGGUGAAGGAUCAGAUUGGCAGCUACAUGUACUAUCCGGUGACGGCUAUGCAUAAGGCGGUUGGUGGUUUCGGUGGCCUCCGUGUUAACAGCCGUCUACUCAUCCCUGUUCCCUACGCCGAUCCGGCUGAUGACUAUACUCUCUUAGUGGGAGACUUUUUCAACAAGGGACACACCAGCCUCAAGAAGAUUCUUGAUAGCGGUCGCAACCUUGGGAGAUGUGACGGUGUCCACCUUAAUGGGAAAGUUGCGAAAGGUGAUGGGAAGGAUGAACCUCUGUUUACGAUGGAGGCAGGCAAAACGUACAAGUACAGGAUUUGCAAUACGGGUAUCAAGACAUCUCUGAACGUCAGGUUCCAGGGCCACACCAUGAAAUUGGUUGAGAUGGAGGGUUCCCACACAAUGCAGAAUGACUAUGACUCCCUUGAUGUGCAUGUUGGACAGUGCUUCAGUGUGCUUGUUACUGCCAACCAGGAACCAAGGGAUUACUAUGUGGUGGCCUCUACCCGUUUUACCAGACGUGAGGUUACAGCAACCGGCAUCAUCCGUUACAAGAAUGGCAAGGGAGCUGCCUCAUCCGAGUUGCCACCACCACCUGUUGGUUGGGCUUGGUCACUCAAUCAAUUCCGUACCUUCCGUUGGAACUUGACUUCUAACGCUGCUAGGCCUAACCCUCAGGGCUCCUACAAAUAUGGUUCCAUUAACAUUACCCGCACCAUCAAGCUUGCCAACACUGCACAAAGAGUAGAUGGCAAGCUCCGAUAUGCUCUUAAUGGAGCCUCCUAUGUCGAAUCAACCACUCCACUAAAACUUGCAGAAUACUACGGCGUAGCCGACAAGGUUUUCAAGUAUGAUACCAUUCCCGAUGAGCCACCAAGUGACAACACUAAGGUAACUUUGGCACCUAUUGUCCUCAACAUGACACACAGAAACUUUGUGGAAAUCAUCUUCGAGAAUCCCGAGACCGCCAUUCAGUCUUACCACUUGUCUGGCUACUCAUUCUUUGCCGUGGGGUAAGUAUAGCUUCUAACGUAACAAAUACAUGUGGUGAUUUUAUUGCCUGAGUUGAAGUAAUAAGUUGUAUAAUGAUUUGUUGCAGCAUGGACAUUGGGAAAUGGAGCCCUGAGAAGAGGAUGAACUACAAUCUUCUCGACGCCGUGAGCAGACACACCAUACAGGUAUUCCCCAACUCCUGGUCAGCAAUCCUAUUGACAUUCGACAACUGCGGGAUGUGGAACCUGAGGUCGGAGAUAUGGGACAGGCAUUACCUUGGGCAACAGCUUUAUGCUAGUGUUAUUUCCCCUAACCGAUCCCUCAAGGAUGAGUACAACUUGCCGGAAGGUGUAUUGACUUGCGGCAUCGUGCAAGGCAUGCCAAGGCCUCCACCUUUCAGCAGUUAAUUUAAAUAAGCUUAAAAAUCUGUAUCCAAUUAUGGUAUAUGGGGAGAGAGAGGGUGAGAAAAGCUGAGUUCUGUACAAUAUGUAAUGAAAUAAAAGCUUUUGGACCACUUUAUUGUUACUAAUUUUCGUGUGUUGCCCUCGAAUAUACACACAAUAUUUAAGUUAUUUUCAAUAUAAAAAAAACAGAUAUUUUCAAAAUUGUACAAUAUUUAAAGAUGAAUGAUUUAAACAUGGUUUAUACUACUAAUUAGUUUGAUAUGUUCAAAAUUGAUAUAAAUAAAUAAUUAAGUUAUAUUAACAAAGAAAUUUAAAAUAAAUAAUCUAUAUAUAUAUUUUUUGUUGAUAUACUUCUGCUUGGAACAUUGAUCUUCAUCAAUAUAAAUAAAUCAUUCUACUAUGGCGGUUCAACUUUUUGUUUAUUUUUAUUCAUUUAUUUUUGUAAAUUUCAAAAAAAAGUUAAGUCAUUGUGUACAAUUUAUACUUAAUUAAGUCCCUAUCAUUAAUUAAAAUAAUCAAUUAAGCCACGUAAAAUAAAUUGAUGGAGCAAUAGAUAGAGAUAGUAAUAGCUUCUAGAUUAAUCUAUUAUUUUUCCUAUAAAAAUAUUAAAAAAUUAAAAAAAUAUUAUCAAAAAUAUAAAUAUUAUUAAAUAUUAAAAAAAUAAAAUUGGUAUAAACUUAUAAAUUUUAAAAAAUUCUAAAAUUAAUAAAAAUAUAUUUAAAAUUUUAUAAAAAACAUUACAACUCUAUAAAAAUAAUAAAAAAUAUUAGAAGUAUUAAAUUUGAUAUAAAAUAAUAAUAACUUGAUUUGGGUUGGAUUAGUCAGUUGGACCGGUUAGACCAAAAUCGACAAGGAUAUCGAUCUAGAGAAAGCCAUUAGGCCAGUUGACAUUAGAACCGGAUGGUUGAACCGAUUCUUUAUCUUUUUAAUAUAUAUAUUUUAUUUCUUAAUGUUUUAUUUAAUUAAACUAGACGGAUCAGUGGAAGUGGUAAACCGAUGGCUUAAUUUAAAUUUUUUUGGAAAAGAUAUUAGAUUAAACUAUAAGCUACCACGUCUCAUCAUCUAAUUGGCCUACCAAUUUUUUUUAACAGUCAAUGUAAUCAAUUUCGAACAUCGUUAAAUAUUUUAAUUAAUGCCAAGAAUUUAAUUGGGUGCGAAUUUAAUAUAUGGAUAGACUUUUUGACAUAUAAACCUAUUAAAAAUAAGGUUAUUAUAUAUUAUCUCCCAAUAAUUACAUGGAAUAUUUGAAAUUCAAGCACUCCCUAGAUGACUUUGCUUGGAAACUAGCAUAAUUUAAGUUACUCUUCGCACGAAGAUGGACAAAUUGUGGAUGAUUAAGAAAUUGAAUAGUCUGCUAUGUUUGAAUAUGCUACUAUCUCGUUCUAAUAAUUGAAUUAUUUGAACAAAGUUGAGAAACAAGACCGGAACGUCAAGAAUCCAAGGACGAAUAAUGAAUUUGGUUUGUGAUCUCGUGUCAUAACUCAUUAAGUAGCUAAGUUUAAUGAAUUGAUAUUGAUGAAUGUUCUCAUAAAAGGCAUGUUAGCUUAAUUGACUUUGAUGGCAAUGGUUGUGAUGAUAUUCAUAUGUGUAUAUAUAUUUGUGAUGUGGAUUACGAUCAUGAAAAUAUUAUGAAAGGGAUUAAAGAUAUGUAAAUUUAUGUUUAAGGAUGUUAAGAAUGAGGACUAUUUUAGUAUUUUGGUGUAUUGAGCGUUAGGACAUAUCACUAACUUUAAUUCUUUGUUGGGUUAUUAAGUAAUUCAAUAUAUUAAUUUUUGCGUAUUCUCCAUUGAAUCUGAAAUCGAUUAAUAGGAACUAAAAUAUAAGUGUAUUAUGUGUCUAAGAUACAUAAGUGGUAUAUGAUUGAAAUCGAUUAAAAGGGACUAAAAUAUAAGUAUUAUGUGACUUAUGCUUAAGUUAUAAGAGACUCUGUAAGUCUUAGGAUGAUUUGAGAAAUAAGAUGACAUGUUUAAAUGGUAUCAAUUGUCUUUUUAUACCUUAAUGUCCGAUUUUCGUAUAUCUCAGAAUUUUCUCACUCGAAUCAAUUCGACUUUGUAACCAUACUCUAAGGCCUCAAACUAUCAAUAAAAUACCAUUUUUGUCCAAAGUUCUCAACAAUCUCAUUCAAGCUCUCAAGAACUCAUCAAUGGCUAUAUUAUCUAUGUCUAAUCAAGUCUUGUUUCUACACAUCCCACUUCAUUUCUAGCAUGUUUUCCACAAAGUUGAAGCUUAACACUAGAUAUUCAUGGAUUCAGGUUUUCAUUCUCUAAGUUCUCUAAUGCUUAGGCUAUGUUCAUCAAAGUAUCACAAACUAAGAUUUUAACAAAUUCAAGUGAAAAGUUCACCUUCCUUAGUAAUUUGAUGGACGAUAAUGGAAGAGUAACCUAAAGAAUUUCUUUCUUUCUUUUGCUUCUCUCACCAAUUGAACACACACACACACACAUAUAUAUAUACAUAAUUAAUCUAAUUACUCAUUAAUCUAAUGGCUGCAAUUGAGCUUAAAGAAUGGUCAAUAGAAAUGAAUGGCAAGGAUCAACGCAAGCCACUAACUAAGAAUAAAUCUUGGUUUAACAGUACUUAGGUUCUUGGCAUAAUUACCACUGACAAAUUUGUUUAAUUCUUAAAUCAAUUCUCUUUAUUUUAUUCACCUCACAAUUAGUCUUUGAUCAAUAAUUACUAUUCUUUCAAUCUAGUCCUUGUACUUAAUAAUUUAUCUAAUUUAAUCCCUUAAUAAUUCUAAUUUCUAAUUUCAUGUUCAUCUUGUAAAUGUCUUGAUUUAAGAUUUUUGGACUAGUUCGGCUUCGAGAAUUCAGCCCUGAAAUUGAAAUUUUUGACCCCAGUGAAAAUCAGAAUGUUAUAUGCAAACUGCUCAACAUCCUGCAAGGUCUCCAUAAUGGAUUUCUUCAUAUUUGUGUCAUUGUUGCUCAUGUCUGAUCCACCCCUGGUAUUCACUUCAACUGUAACAAUGGUCAUAUUCGUUGCCAUGAGUGAUGUGGAAAAAUUUGUUAAUAUUUCGUUAAGUAAUUUGAAAUGGAUCAUGAGUAAUUUGGUGGAAAGAGUUAAUAAAAUAAUUUCUCCACAUUUUGGGUGUUCAAAAUUUAAUUUAUUAUAAAAUCUCUUGUAGAUGAUGUCACAAAUGAAUUUGUCAUGUAUGCCUAAACUCUUGCAAAAAAAAAAAGAACUAAUUAUUUUUUUUUUCAAAUUAUUUUUUUGUGUCAUAAUUUAAGUUUUCAUAUAAGAAGGUUGGUUUCACUUUAAUACAAUUUCUAUUUUUAAAAAUUACAAUAGUUUAUCUAUAUUUAUAAUAAAAGAAUAACUAAAAAGGUAAAAGAAAAAAACUAGAGUAUUUUUCAUAGAAGCAACUACUUUCCUAAAGAAAAGGUUAGCCAUCCAUAGAGUGAAUAUUCAAAUCCUUGUGAUAACAGAGAACAAUGAUUCAAAAUUGUAAAACCAAAAAUGGAUUAGUGCUAAAAGCAAGGAAAUAAAUGAAUGGAUGAGCUUCUUCUAAGGGAUUAAGAUGGAAGAAUGGAAGAGGGGAUUGUGUGGUAUAAAAGGAGAGGUAUGCAUGCAAUUCAAAAUCAACUCAAGCAAACCAUCUUCCUCUUCCUCUAGAAGGGGAUAAUUAAUAAAUUACUGUCGGGCGAAAAAAAAGGGUAAGAGAUGGCUCGAUUAAUGUUAAUAUCGAUGCUAUUUCUCUUGGCAGGAUCAAUGCUUAUGGUCCAGGGCGGAGAUCCCACCCUUUUUUUCGAAUGGAACGUCACCUAUGGCACCAUUGCUCCCUUGGGAGUGCCAGUAAAGGGUAUUCUUAUUAACGGGCAAUUCCCGGGACCAAAUCUUAACUCUACCACCAACAACAAUAUCGUGGUCAAUGUGUUCAAUAACCUUGAUGAGCCAUUCCUUGUAACAUGGUAAGCGACUACCAAGAGUAGUUUCUUUUUUACAUUAAUAUGAUUAUGCUAGUGAAGAGUCGAGCUAAUUAUCUGUGGAAAUGGGAUUUGUUGCAGGG
Molecule: long non-coding RNA, 5899 nt
Filed under: Gossypium barbadense (sea-island cotton)
Lineage: Eukaryota; Viridiplantae; Streptophyta; Magnoliopsida; Malvales; Malvaceae
Description: long non-coding RNA (GBAR_LNC022777)
Source: RNAcentral